Long non-coding RNA from Penaeus indicus, 643 nucleotides. RefSeq lists it as uncharacterized. The transcript has 4 exons. The record is from RefSeq and is a predicted model, not a curated record. Lineage: Eukaryota; Metazoa; Arthropoda; Malacostraca; Decapoda; Penaeidae.
GCUAGAGCGUUUGUUCACGCCUCGGUCUAGUGUCAGUUUCAUAGACACUAUUUCUGGCCGUUCUGGGAUUCUAGUAUGGUUUUCAAGGAUUGUGAGUGAUUUUCUCCAAGUGAGAGAGUGAUAAUAUCGUGACUGAGGUAUACAGUGCCCCCAGGGUGCAAGACGUUACCUGUAAGAAAAGAAGAGGAAGGGGUGUAUACAUCACAAAAAGUUUUAAUUAUGCUCGGAAAUGUGAUCUGGCAAAAGCUGCACAAAUGAUUCAUAGAUCUCGGAAUAUAAGUGAAACAAAGUGUGUUCAUUAAUAUCAUUAUAAUCUGUAAGCCCUUGCUGCGUAAUCAUUCAGUAAGGCUCAUACAGGAGUGCAUAAAUCAGUGUACAUUUUUUGAAAGUGUUUGAAAAGAAUAGCAGUACUCAAGAAUACAUAAGAAGAACAGGAGAGAGGGUCACUAGCUACAGGAACCCGAACGCAGUCCCCGCCAGAGGGAACAGCGCCGUCGCUUACCAAGAUUUGCGAGGCUUGCACGACAAAAGGCAAAAUGUCGUCGGCAGGAGGACUCCUGUCAUGAGCCUGUAGGCCUGGUCAUGCCAGUGAAUCGACGCUACAAAAGUAAAAAGACGGUGUGCGCUGUGCAGAGGUCGUCAG